Molecule: ribosomal RNA, 492 nt
Filed under: uncultured bacterium
Lineage: Bacteria
Description: partial 16S ribosomal RNA
Rfam family: Bacterial small subunit ribosomal RNA
Source: RNAcentral
AGUGAACGCUGGCGGUAGGCCUAACACAUGCAAGUCGAACGGCAGCACAGUAAGAGCUUGCUCUUACGGGUGGCGAGUGGCGGACGGGUGAGGAAUACAUCGGAAUCUACUUUUUCGUGGGGGAUAACGUAGGGAAACUUACGCUAAUACCGCAUACGACCUACGGGUGAAAGCAGGGGAUCUUCGGACCUUGCGCGAUUGAAUGAGCCGAUGUCGGAUUAGCUAGUUGGCGGGGUAAAGGCCCACCAAGGCGACGAUCCGUAGCUGGUCUGAGAGGAUGAUCAGCCACACUGGGACUGAGACACGGUCCAGACUCCUACGGGAGGCAGCAGUGGGGAAUAUUGGACAAGGGGCGCAAGCCUGAUCCAGCCAUACCGCGUGGGUGAAGAAGGCCUUCGGGUUGUAAAGCCCUUUUGUUGGGAAAGAAAAGCAGCAGGUUAAUACCCCGCUGUUCUGACGGUACCCAAAUAAUAAGCACCGGCUAACUUCGUG